UGUAACUGUCACUCAAGCAUCUGAGUCCAUCCCCUGUGUAACUGUCACUCAAGCAUCUGAGUCCAUCCCCUGUGUAACUGUCACUCAAGCAUCUGAGUCCAUCCCCUGUGUAACUGUCACUCAGGCAUCUGAGUCCACCCCUGUGUAACUGUCACUCAAGCAUCUGAGUCCACCCCCUGUGUAACUGUCACUCAAGCAUCUGAGUCCACCCCCUGUGUAACUGUCACUCAAGCAUCUGAGUCCAUCCCCUGUGUAACUGUCACUCAGGCAUCUGAGUCCAUCCCCUGUGUAACUGUCACUCAGGCAUCUGAGUCCAUCCCCUGUGUAACUGUCACUCAGGCAUCUGAGUCCACCCCCUGUGUAACUGUCACUCAAGCGUCUGAGUCCACCCCUGUGUAACUGUCACUCAAGCAUCUUCCUCCAGAUGGAGACGAUAACUUUCGGAAAUCCUGUUAAAGAAGAGGGCUGGUUUCGUAGAUGCUUCUAGGAGAAAUAAUCCUGUCUUCUGACAACAGGCAAUCUUCAAAGCCUGCAGAGCUGUCUCCUGAGCCCCGUAGUCAGCCUGUGAACUCAUUGCUCUGGUUCAGUUGACCCAGAUGUUUACUAUCUGGUGUGACCUCAGGAACAGUGUAGAUCACAGAAUCUUAGGAGAGCUAACUCUGGGGUUACAGUUGGGAAAGCGAAGUCUUGGCCGAGCUUCUGUGACUAUUUAUAGAAAAAAUCUGCUUUCUUUCAGGCCAAAAGUCUUCCCAAAUGAGUAACAGAGACCCCGUGUUCAGAUGUGCAUUUCUGGGCAUUUGGAUGUUUAUAAAUGGUUGUCUCUUAGAUCGUUCUCCAAAAAAUGUCUUUCUCUAUAUACCAGAGGACACUGUUUUUACCAAACAAGAUACCAGGCCAUUGUCACUAUGGGAUCAAGACUUCAAAGAGGCUGUUUCUUCUCUUUCUCUGGGUGUUCUGGAAGAGUACCUAUAACCCCACACAAGGUCCGGCGUGAAGCUGAAGGUGAAGGCAGUUAGAAUGGUAGCUUCCAGGUGCCAUGAGACUGGAGACAGUCACAGGCCACGGCAGGUGCCACAGAUCUGGAUUUCCUCCAUGGUUCCUAAUUCGGAAAAGUUAAUAAAUAGACUAAUGAGCCCUUAUUAUAAUAGAGUAUCUAAGACGAUUGUCAAGAGGAAAAGCUUACAGUUUGGCCACGUUUGGCUGACUCCAUUCCUUUCGGGUCUUAAGGGGAGACCACGCGGCAUGGCUGGCAGUUGUGUUGAAACAAAAGGCAGUCUCUUUGUGGCCCAGACAGGAAAAGGAGAGAAGGGAGCAGGCAGGGCACAUUCCUCGGAGGACAUGCCUUUAUGACUGGAUGACAUUUCUCUUUUAAAACCUUCACUACCGUCAAUAGUGCCAAGAAAGUUUGCACAUGGAUCAGCAGAAGCAUUUGUGAUCCAGAGGAUAGCAUGCAGUGUCACCUUCAUGGACGAUAGGAGGUCCUGUAUUAAGAAGAUUUGCUUACUGAUGUUGAGGACCAAUUGUCUUACCAGAUGAGAACCCUGUGAAUUGUACAGUUGACCAGUGUGGCAAGUUAUACCCAGGUACAGUAGUGGCACCGAUGUUACGCGAGUAACCAAAGACUUUCUGGGAGGAUUUAAGGCCUGCUCCACAGGAGAAAUGCUGGCCUGUUGUUGUCAGUUCACUCAAGAGCCCAUGGCUGCACAGCUCUUAGGCCCAGGGAUGAACCCACUACUAUUAUUUUGCUAUAGACAAGGUAUUAAAGCAACCUCUAAAUCUG
Molecule: non-coding RNA, 1780 nt
Organism: Rattus norvegicus (Norway rat)
Lineage: Eukaryota; Metazoa; Chordata; Mammalia; Rodentia; Muridae
Source: RefSeq, a predicted model, not a curated record